Molecule: ribosomal RNA, 159 nt
Filed under: uncultured bacterium
Lineage: Bacteria
Description: partial 16S ribosomal RNA
Rfam family: Bacterial small subunit ribosomal RNA
Source: RNAcentral
GGAAGGGCAUUGUAAACUGGGUGACUGGAGUGCGGGAGAGGGUAGUGGAAUUCCCGGUGUAGCAGUGAAAUGCGUAGAUAUCGGGAGGAACAGCCGUGGCGAAGGCGACUACCUGGACCAGCACUGACACUGAGGCACGAAAGCGUGGGGAGCAAACAG